This is a long non-coding RNA of Myotis davidii, 608 nucleotides long. RefSeq lists it as uncharacterized. The record is from RefSeq and is a predicted model, not a curated record. Lineage: Eukaryota; Metazoa; Chordata; Mammalia; Chiroptera; Vespertilionidae. The transcript is spliced from 2 exons.
UUUUUAAAGGCCCCUCUGUCUGCUGGGGAAGCCUGGAGUGUGGGAGUAAGAGAGGCUGGAGUGCAGGAGGACAGAGGUCAGGGCCAUCGGGGUAGACGGUGAGUGCAGGUCUGCAGAGGGCUGCCAAGGAUGGAUGGGUCUGCAAUGUUCUGGAGGCGCAGACCCAGGACUUGCUCCUGAACUGCAUGUGGGGAAUGAAAGACAGAGGAGCCAAAGGACUUUGACUGAGGUUUUGGCCGAAGGACUGGAGAGGACGGUGGGACGGACCACGGACUGAUUGAUUUGGGGGGUCUGUUUCGGUCUGGUCAGGCUGAAGGUGUGGUGGAGGCUCAUGGAGGUGUAGUCCGUGAGGAGGGAGGCAGUGGUCACAGUAUAAACAGCGGCUAAAGCCGUGAGGCUGGUUGGGAUCCUUGAGGGCGGGUUAAGGACAAGGAAGAGGCCUGAGGACUCCAGCUGGGGCCCCAGAGUCCUGGGGUGCAGCCUAGGAGGAGGGAGAGGAGCCACCCCCCUCAGAGGGAUGCUCCCUGGGCCUGACUCAGGCCAUGCUGUGGACAGCACCCUCUGACGGGUCCCAGCUGAAUAAAAAUAAAUAAAUAAAUAAAUAAAUA